Molecule: long non-coding RNA, 831 nt
Filed under: Homo sapiens (human)
Lineage: Eukaryota; Metazoa; Chordata; Mammalia; Primates; Hominidae
Description: non-protein coding lnc-NUTM2G-3:1
Source: RNAcentral
AUGAGGGACAGAAGAGGGCCCCUCGGCACCUGCCUGGCACAAGUGCAGUGGGCCGGAGGAGGUGACUCGGACAAACUGUCAUACAGCCUUAAGCAAAGAAUGCCGAUGGAGGGCCCUUGGCCUGCAGAUGCACCCUCCUGGAUGAAUAAGCCUGCGGCUGAUGGAAAUUCAGAGUGAGGCAUUAUCACUGGAAAUGAGAAAGGAUCCGAGCAGGGCUGGCCUCUCGCUUCCCAGUGGCGGCCCAGUUCUUCCAUAUGUGAAAGAAUCAGUAAGAAGAAAUCCAGCCUCAGCAGCCACUCCGAGCGCAGCCGUGGGUUUGUUCCCUGCUCCAACAGAGUAUUUUGCUCGGGUGUCCUGCAGUGGUGUUGAAGCUCUGGGGCGGGACUGGCUGGGAGGAGGGCCCAGGGCCACCCACGGCCACAGAGGACAGUGCCCCAAAGGAGAGCCUCAGGUGUCACGACUGCCAUGCCAUCAAAAACUGCCGGAAAUGGGAAGUUUUCAGGAUGACCCACCAAGUGCUUUUCCCAAGGGUCUGCGCUCUGAGUUGGAACCCUCUUGCCUGCAUUCCAUCCUGUCUGCAACACUGCAGGCGUGUCCCGAAGAGCUCCUGAAUGACGAGACAAAACGCAUUUUCCUUGACCGUUUAAACCCCAUGUUUUCAAAGCAAACAAUAGAAUUCAAAAAAAUGCUUAAAAGUACCUCAGAUGGUCUGCAGAUAACACUGGGGUUACUGGCUCUGCAACAUUUUGAAUUAGCAAAUUCAUUAUGCCAUAGUUAAGGUACAAGCAGAACAAUACAAGUAGAUUAAUUUUAAGAGUUGUCUUAGAAUGA